AAAGUCGUAACAAGGUUUCCGUAGGUGAACCUGCGGAAGGAUCAUUACAGUGGGACUUGCGGGCCUUUGCUGGCCCGGAAAAAAACACAACCCCGAGGUCGAUAUACGGCGCCCCCCCACCGGUCGUGCUGCCCAAUUCGAAAGGGUGCGAGAGGGUCCCCCCACCCUCUUCGCGCCCCUCGAAACCUCCCUCCGUCCCGUUGUGGCUGCCUCUGGAGCCGCGCGUGGGCUCGCAAGUCCAAAUCCCUCCCCUCCUUGUCUAUGAGCACCGUUUUGUUUCCUCGGCGAGUUCGCUCGUCGGUGGACCCCCUUCAAACUACUGUUGAAAAUCCAUGUUGUCUGAGCGAUACAAAGCAAAUAUUAUUAAAACUUUCAACAACGGAUCUCUUGGUUCCG
RNAcentral lists this unclassified non-coding RNA (396 nucleotides) under Ascomycota sp. RNAcentral's name for it is "partial contains small subunit ribosomal RNA, internal transcribed spacer 1, and 5.8S ribosomal RNA". The stretch from base 1 to 47 matches the Rfam family "Eukaryotic small subunit ribosomal RNA", at positions 1785 to 1831 of the family's 1831-position model. Lineage: Eukaryota; Fungi; Ascomycota. The record is from RNAcentral.